Molecule: long non-coding RNA, 335 nt
Organism: Patella vulgata (common limpet)
Lineage: Eukaryota; Metazoa; Mollusca; Gastropoda; Patellidae
Exons: 3
Source: RefSeq, a predicted model, not a curated record
ACGGAAUCCACCGAAGUUUGCCGAGUGUACGUCGGAUGUUAAUAUGACUACGCCAUCUUGUUGAUUAGAGAAGUGCAUGCGAUUUUGUGUUUUCAGAAACUAGGCUACUGGCUAGUAGUUUCAAGCAAAAGCAAUGGCAACCCUUUCACCAGAUGCGGAAAAUGAUGUUCAGGUGACAUUUGAAGAUCAACAAAAAAUAAAUAGAUUUGCUAGACACAAUGCCAGAUUACAAGAUAUUAAGGAAGAACUUGUUGCAAAAAAGAAAGAGGUACAAAAUUUAGAAGAUGCUACAGAUGAACUUGUAUUGGUAGAUUCAGACGAAUUAAUUCCAUAUC